RNAcentral lists this ribosomal RNA (500 nucleotides) under uncultured bacterium. RNAcentral's name for it is "bacterial SSU rRNA". It matches the Rfam family "Bacterial small subunit ribosomal RNA", at positions 28 to 521 of the family's 1533-position model. The record is from RNAcentral.
GACGAACGCUGGCGGCGUGCUUAACACAUGCAAGUCGAGCGGGGACGAUGGAACGGAAGGCUUCGGCUGGAAGGUUCAUGUUCUAGCGGCGGACGGGUGAGUAACGCGUGAACAAUCUGUCCCAGACAGGGGGAGUAACACUUGGAAACAGGUGCUAAUACCGCAUAAGACCACGAGGCCACAUGGUUUUGGGGUAAAAGGAGCAAUCCGGUUUGGGGUGAGUUCGCGUCCGAUUAGCUAGUUGGCGAGGUAACGGCCCACCAAGGCGACGAUCGGUAGCCGACCUGAGAGGGUGAUCGGCCACAUUGGAACUGAGAAACGGUCCAAACUCCUACGGGAGGCAGCAGUGGGGAAUAUUGGGCAAUGGGCGAAAGCCUGACCCGGCAACGCCGCGUGAGGGAAGAAGGUUUUUCGGAUUGUAAACCUCUGUCCUCAGGGACGAAGGAAGUGACGGUACCUGAGGAGGAAGCCCCGGCUAACUACGUGCCAGCCGCCGCCGU